UACGGAGGGGGCUAGCGUUGUUCGGAAUUACUGGGCGUAAAGCGCGCGUAGGCGGACCUGCAAGUCGGGGGUGAAAGCCCGAGGCUCAACCUCGGAACUGCCUUCGAUACUGCGGGUCUCGAGUCCGGGAGAGGUGAGUGGAAUUCCUAGUGUAGAGGUGAAAUUCGUAGGUAUUAGGAAGAACACCAGUGGCGAAGGCGGCUCACUGGCCCGGUACUGACGCUGAGGCGCGAAAGCGUGGGGAGCAAACAGG
Molecule: ribosomal RNA, 253 nt
Filed under: uncultured bacterium
Lineage: Bacteria
Description: partial 16S ribosomal RNA
Rfam family: Bacterial small subunit ribosomal RNA
Source: RNAcentral